UAAACUUUAACUUACGCCGAAAUUGCCUGGGAAUUACGAGCUAAGCUUUAAACCCAAAGGACUUGACGGUACCCCAUAUCCCUCUAGAGGAGCCUGUCCUAUAAUCGAUACCCCCCGCUUAACCUCACCAUUUUUAGCUUCUCAGCCUGUAUACUUCCGUCGUCAGCUUACCGCAUGAGCGACAUCAUAGUAAGCCAAAUGUCUACAUCAACACGUCAGGUCAAAGUGCAGCAAACAAAAUGGAAAGAGAUGGGCUACACUUUCUAAUUAUAGAAAACACGAAAGAUUGACGUGAAACCUCAAUCUAAAGGUGGAUUUAGUAGUAAAAAGAAAAUAGAGUGUUCUUUUUAAUCCGGCACUGGGGUGCGUACACACCGCCCGUCACCCUCUUCGCACACCUAACCCUAGUAAAUAACAACUUUCCAUAAAGUAGAAGAGGCAAGUCGUAACAUGGUAAGUGUACCGGAAGGUGUACUUGGACACGUUACAUAGCUUAACCAAAGCCU
Molecule: ribosomal RNA, 506 nt
Filed under: Oreobates choristolemma
Lineage: Eukaryota; Metazoa; Chordata; Amphibia; Anura; Strabomantidae
Description: partial 12S ribosomal RNA
Rfam family: Bacterial small subunit ribosomal RNA
Source: RNAcentral